UACGUAGGAGGCUAGCGUUAUCCGGAUUCACUGGGCGUAAAGCGCACGCAGGCGGUCAUGUAAGUCAGACGUGAAAGCUCCUGGCUCAACUGGGAGAGGUCGUUUGAUACUGCAUGGCUUGAGGUUGGGAGAGGGAAGCGGAAUUCCCGGUGUAGUGGUGGAAUGCGUAGAUAUCGGGAGGAACACCAGUGGCGAAAGCGGCUUCCUGGCCCAUACCUGACGCUCAGGUGCGAAAGCGUGGGGAGCGAACGGG
Molecule: ribosomal RNA, 253 nt
Filed under: uncultured bacterium
Lineage: Bacteria
Description: partial 16S ribosomal RNA
Rfam family: Bacterial small subunit ribosomal RNA
Source: RNAcentral